CCCCGUAAUCGAGUCGACCCUCUCGCGGACGAAACGUGCGUCCUCCAGUCGCCAAGCUAGGGCGAUAAGAGGUGGU
RNAcentral lists this transfer RNA (76 nucleotides) under Campylobacter jejuni. RNAcentral's name for it is "tRNA-Ala (UGC)". The record is from RNAcentral. Lineage: Bacteria; Pseudomonadati; Campylobacterota; Epsilonproteobacteria; Campylobacterales; Campylobacteraceae.